RNAcentral lists this ribosomal RNA (397 nucleotides) under uncultured bacterium. RNAcentral's name for it is "bacterial SSU rRNA". It matches the Rfam family "Bacterial small subunit ribosomal RNA", at positions 28 to 418 of the family's 1533-position model. The record is from RNAcentral.
GAUGAACGUUGGCGGUGUGCCUAAUACAUGCAAGUCGAACGGUGGUUAUUUUGUAGUAAUACGAAGUGAUCAUAGUGGCGAACGGGUGAGUAACGCGUUGGUGAUCUGCCUCGAAGUGUGGAAUAACGUUCCGAAAGGAACGCUAAUACCGCAUGUGCUCUCGAUUUUUAGAAAGUUGAGAGUAAAGGAUUUAUUCGCUUCGAGAGGAGCCUGCGUCCCAUCAGCUAGUUGGUAGGGUAAUAGCCUACCAAGGCUUUGACGGGUAGGGGACCUGAGAGGGUGGCCCCCCACAAUGGAACUGAAACACGGUCCAUACACCUACGGGUGGCAGCAGUAGGGAAUAUUAGAAAUGGACGAAAGUCUGAUCUAGCGACACCGCGUGUGCGAUGAAGGCCUU